This 292-nucleotide ribosomal RNA is filed under the name uncultured bacterium. Its description in RNAcentral is "partial 16S ribosomal RNA". The record is from RNAcentral.
GGACUACCGGGGUUUCUAAUCCUGUUUGCUCCCCUUGCUCUCGCGCCUCAGCGUCAGGAUUAAGCUAGAAAACCGCUUUCGCCACAGGUGUUCUUCCACAUAUCUACGCAUUUCACCGCUACACGUGGAAUUCCAUUUUCUCCGCCAUUCCUCUAGAUCUAUAGUUUCAAAUGCAGUCCCAAAGUUGAGCUUUGGAAUUUCACAUCUGACUUACAGACCCGCCUACGCGCCCUUUACGCCCAAUAAAUCCGAUUAAUGCUUGCACCCUCCGUAUUACCGCGGCGGCUGGCAC